GGUUGCGUAGUGUAAUGGUUAUCACAUCGGAUUCUGAUUUCUUGAACAUUCCGGUAAUCUGAGUUCGAUUCUCAGCGCGACCU
RNAcentral lists this transfer RNA (83 nucleotides) under Gnomoniopsis sp. IMI 355080. RNAcentral describes it as "tRNA-Gln". It matches the Rfam family "tRNA". From Rfam's summary of the family: Transfer RNA (tRNA) molecules are approximately 80 nucleotides in length. Their secondary structure includes four short double-helical elements and three loops (D, anti-codon, and T loops). Further hydrogen bonds mediate the characteristic L-shaped molecular structure. tRNAs have two regions of fundamental functional importance: the anti-codon, which is responsible for specific mRNA codon recognition, and the 3' end, to which the tRNAs corresponding amino acid is attached (by aminoacyl-tRNA synthetases). tRNAs cope with the degeneracy of the genetic code in two manners: having more than one tRNA (with a specific anti-codon) for a particular amino acid; and 'wobble' base-pairing, i.e. permitting non-standard base-pairing at the 3rd anti-codon position. Lineage: Eukaryota; Fungi; Ascomycota; Sordariomycetes; Diaporthales; Gnomoniaceae. The record is from RNAcentral.